UAGGGAAUCUUGCGCAAUGGGCGAAAGCCUGACGCAGCCAUGCCGCGUGAAUGAUGAAGGUCUUAGGAUUGUAAAAUUCUUUCACCGGGGACGAUAAUGACGGUACCCGGAGAAGAAGCCCCGGCUAACUUCGUGCCAGCAGCCGCGGUAAUACGAAGGGGGCUAGCGUUGCUCGGAAUUACUGGGCGUAAAGGGAGCGUAGGCGGAUAGUUUAGUCAGAGGUGAAAGCACAGGGCUCAACCUUGGAAUUGCCUUUGAUACUGGCUAUCUUGAGUAUGGAAGAGGUAUGUGGAACUCCGAGUGUAGAGGUGAAAUUCGUAGAUAUUCGGAAGAACACCAGUGGCGAAGGCGACAUACUGGUCCAUUACUGACGCUGAGGCUCGAAAGCGUGGGGAGCAAACA
This 402-nucleotide ribosomal RNA is filed under the name uncultured bacterium. RNAcentral's name for it is "partial 16S ribosomal RNA". It matches the Rfam family "Bacterial small subunit ribosomal RNA", at positions 355 to 774 of the family's 1533-position model. The record is from RNAcentral.